Molecule: long non-coding RNA, 601 nt
Organism: Pristis pectinata (smalltooth sawfish)
Lineage: Eukaryota; Metazoa; Chordata; Chondrichthyes; Rhinopristiformes; Pristidae
Exons: 3
Source: RefSeq, a predicted model, not a curated record
GUGGCUUAACAGUCUGCCUCUGUGUUCUAAUCCAGAGAACCAUAUUUCUAGAAACAGUUACGGAUAUGAAUGGCGACAUUCUGGAAAAGCACAGGAUUGAAAGAGAAAACCAGUUGGAGAAGGACCAAUCUGUUCCAGAUGUCAUCCCAGUCCUGGUCUAAACAUGGACCAAAGAGCUGAAUACCAGAGAUGUACUGUUGGAAGUCUCCUGACUGGUUGCAUCAUGAUCUGGUACAGCAAUUCAAAUGCACAGGAACGCAAGAAGCAGCAGAGAACAGUGGACUCUGUGCAAUACAUCACGGGCACAUCGCUCCCUGCCAUCGGUGGUAUCUACAGGAAGCACUGCCUCAAGAAGGCAACAUCUAUCAUCAAAGAUCUCCACCAUACGGGCCAUGCCAUCCUUUCACAGCUACCAUUGGGCAGGAGGUACAGAAGCCUGAAGUCCCACAUCACCAGGUUCAAGAACAGUUACUUCCCUUUAACCAUUCAGAUCUUGAACUAAUCAGCAAAACCUUAAUUACUACAGUUUAGCAACACUAUGAUCACUUUGAUUACUUUGCACUAAAAUUGACUUCUUUUGUUCUAAUUGUGUUCUUUCUUG